RNAcentral lists this ribosomal RNA (447 nucleotides) under uncultured bacterium. RNAcentral describes it as "partial 16S ribosomal RNA". It matches the Rfam family "Bacterial small subunit ribosomal RNA", at positions 29 to 523 of the family's 1533-position model. The record is from RNAcentral.
AACGAACGCUGGCGGCAGGCUUAACACAUGCAAGUCGAACGCCCCGCAAGGGGAGUGGCAGACGGGUGAGUAACGCGUGGGAACGUCCCUUUCAGUUCUGGGUAACGCAGGGAAACUUGUGCUAAUACCGGAUACGCCCGCAUGAGGAAAGAUUUAUCGCUGAAAGAUCGGCCCGCGUUGGAUUAGCUAGUUGGUGGGGUAAUGGCCUACCAAGGCGACGAUCCAUAGCUGGUCUGGGAGGACGAUCAGCCACACUGGGACUGCGACACGGCCCAGACUCCUACGGGAGGCAGCAGUGGGGAAUAUUGGACAAUGGGCGAAAGCCUGAUCCAGCCAUGCCGCGUGAGUGAUGAAGGCCUUAGGGUUGUAAAGCUCUUUCACCGAUGAAGAUAAUGACGGUAGUCGGAGAAGAAGCCCCGGCUAACUUCGUGCCAGCAGCCGCGGUAA